Molecule: unclassified non-coding RNA, 357 nt
Filed under: soil metagenome
Description: partial contains 5.8S ribosomal RNA, internal transcribed spacer 2, and large subunit ribosomal RNA
Rfam family: 5.8S ribosomal RNA (bases 1-120)
Source: RNAcentral
GAUGAAGAACGUAGGGAAAUGCGAUAAGUAAUGUGAAUUGCAGAAUUCAGUGAAUCAUCGAAUCUUUGAACGCACAUUGCGCCCGCUGGUAUUCCGGCGGGCAUGCCUGUUCGAGCGUCAUUUCAACCCUCAAGCUCUCCGGAGUUUGGUGUUGGGGCGCCUGGGGCUUUUCGACCUCAGGGCCCUCAAGUCCAUCGGCGGGACCGCCAGGACACUGAGCGCAGUAGUAUUAUUUCGCUCGGUAGGAUCUUCCACGGCGGGUCGAUCUGGCCGCUAAACCCCCCAAUUCUCACCAAAGGUUGACCUCGGAUCAGGUAGGAAUACCCGCUGAACUUAAGCAUAUCAAUAAGCGGAGGA